AUGGAGUUGGUGUGUUGGAACAUGAGGGGACUGAAUAGCCCCGCUAAAAGGAAAGCGCUUAGGGAGUUUGUUGGCUCGAUCCAUACGACCAUCAUAUGUAUUCUAGAGACUAAGCUAGAGGUGGUCGAUCAAUAUGUAAUAAUGCAAUGUCUUGGGCCAGUGUAUGAUGGUUUCUUUUACCUUCCUGCCUCUAACACCCGGGGAGGAAUUUUUGUUGCUUGGGAUUCCACUAAGGUGCAGUUGACAAAUUUUGUCAAUGACACAAAUUUUACCACGGGUUACAUCACCCCCUUAGAAGGGCCGGCUUGGUGGCUGACAGUGGUGUAUGGACCACAGGAGGAUGCAGAGAAAAUUCUCUUUUUGGAGGAACUUACGGUUAGACGACAACUCUAUUCGGGAUCUUGGCUUGUCAUUGGGGAUUUCAAUAUGAUUCUGUAUGCACAGGACAAGAGCAAUGCACUUCUAGACCGUAGGAUGAUGAUACGUCUCCAACAUAUCUAUAAUUUUUUUUAUUGUUCCAUGCUAUUAUAUUAUCAACCUUGGAUGUUUUAUAUGCAUUUAUAUGCUAUUUUAUAUGAUUUUUGGGACUAA
RNAcentral lists this ribosomal RNA (591 nucleotides) under Triticum aestivum (bread wheat). Its description in RNAcentral is "partial small subunit ribosomal RNA". The record is from RNAcentral. Lineage: Eukaryota; Viridiplantae; Streptophyta; Magnoliopsida; Poales; Poaceae.